Molecule: long non-coding RNA, 1084 nt
Organism: Onychostruthus taczanowskii (white-rumped snowfinch)
Lineage: Eukaryota; Metazoa; Chordata; Aves; Passeriformes; Passeridae
Exons: 4
Source: RefSeq, a predicted model, not a curated record
AGUAACUGCUGAACAGAACUCUAUGAAGAGACUGCUUUGCUUGAGAUCUCUGGGCAAUUCCUGCUGUUUUCUGGUGAGCAAGGAGGUUGGCAACCAUUCCAUGUCAAUCUCAUGUAUAGGAAGACUUUCAUGAUGGACAGAUGAACAACUUCCCAGGAAGGAAUCCAGUCUCUUCUCUGCAUCAUGCCCAUGAGGUUGCUUGAGCCCCGUCAUGGAAAGGAGAGAGGUGAUUUGGAAGAUCCUCAAGCACAAAGAGAAAGGACCUGUGUCCUAGAAAGUGUUGCACUGGCUGGCAUUCAUAGUGCUGCCAACUGCAAAUCCAGGUGCAGAAGCUACAGCAAUUAAUAUUAAUCUGAAUUUGAUUAUUUGGCUCUUCAGCUUUUCAUUGGAUUAUGUUGACUUUGUAAUUUGAUUGCUACACAGAUGUAAGCUGUGCUGAUUGCAUUAAAAUAUGCAAAGGAAAUUAAAAGUAUUACCAAGUGAUGUUCUGAAAACAGUUCUUCCUUGCUGGCUGUGAAAACUUCCUUUUGGGAAGAGAAAAGCAAAGGAAAUUAAUGAUUAUACUAUAAUGCCAACCACUGAGUUACAAAUAACCCAUCUACAUGGAUAAUAAGUAUUGAACCUGUUAUUCUUUGUUUCUGGACUAAUAUGUGUUAUAUAACUAAUAAAAACUUAAUAGACUAUAUAAUGCUCUAUAAUGUGCUAAAAUAGGAGAUUAAAAGGUGAGACCCAGAAGGGAAGCUCCAGCAUUGCUGCUUUGCUCCUGCAGUACUUCUGAAGAUCCCCUACACUAAACUUUGGCACAAACACUGCUGUGCCACUGCUGAGGCUCAGCCAAUCCCUGGGUGAUUCCCAGCAGAGUUCUGUGGCCAUCACCAUCUAUCUCACAGUCCUCUUUAAACAAUAUUAACUGGGGAGAACUGAGCCACAAAAAGGAUCUUCCUGUUCUAUUUUGUGGCCAGGAAAAGGUGCCUCUCCACUGACAGCCGCAGUACCCAAGGGAGUUUCUAAUACACAUCAAUUCUGUGUGUGAUGGGACACAAAGUGGCCCAUCUGUUACUUCCACAAGUUAUUUUGAAAGCAU